Molecule: ribosomal RNA, 428 nt
Filed under: uncultured bacterium
Lineage: Bacteria
Description: bacterial SSU rRNA
Rfam family: Bacterial small subunit ribosomal RNA
Source: RNAcentral
GAUGAACGCUAGCGGGAGGCUUAACACAUGCAAGUCGAGGGGCAGCACGAGGUAGCAAUACUUUGGUGGCGACCGGCGUACGGGUGAGUAACGCGUAUGCAACCUACCCUGUACUGGGGGAUAGCCCGGAGAAAUUCGGAUUAAUACCCCAUAAAGAUAUUUGGAGGCAUCUUCAGAUAUUUAAAGUUUCGACGGUACGGGAUGGGCAUGCGUAACAUUAGCUUGUUGGUAAGGUAACGGCUUACCAAGGCUACGAUGUUUAGGGGUCCUGAGAGGGUGAUCCCCCACACUGGUACUGAGACACGGACCAGACUCCUACGGGAGGCAGCAGUGAGGAAUAUUGGUCAAUGGGCGCAAGCCUGAACCAGCCAUCCCGCGUGCAGGAAGACGGCGCUAUGCGUUGUAAACUGCUUUUCCAGGGGAAGAAA